RNAcentral lists this ribosomal RNA (540 nucleotides) under uncultured bacterium. Its description in RNAcentral is "bacterial SSU rRNA". It matches the Rfam family "Bacterial small subunit ribosomal RNA", at positions 767 to 1308 of the family's 1533-position model. The record is from RNAcentral.
AGCAAAUAGAUACCCCGGUAGUCCACGCCCUAAACGAUGUCUACUAGUUGUUGGUGGAGUAAAAUCCAUGAGUAAACGCAGCUAAACGCGUGAAGUAGACCGCCUGGGGAGUACGGUCGCAAGAUUAAAACUCAAAGGAAUUGACGGGGGCCCGCACAAGCGGUGGAUUAUGUGGAUUAAAUUCGAUGCAACGCGAAAAACCUUACCUGGCCUUGACAUGCCACUAACGAAGCAGAGAUGCAUUAGGUGCCCGUAAGGGAAAGUGGACACAGGUGCUGCAUGGCUGUCGUCAGCUCGUGUCGUGGGAUGUUGGGUUAAGUCCCGCAACGAGCGCAACCCUUGCCAUUAAUUGCCAUCAUUUAGUUGGGCACUUUAAUGGGACUGCCGGUGACAAACCGGAGGAAGGUGGGGAUGACGUCAAGUCCUCAUGGCCCUUAUGGCCAGGGCUUCACACGUAAUACAAUGGUCGGUACAGAGAGUUGCCAACCCGCGAGGGGAGCUAAUCUCAGAAAGCCGAUCGUAGUCCGGAUUGUUCUCUGC